GAUGAACGCUAGCUACAGGCUUAACACAUGCAAGUCGAGGGGCAGCAUGGUCUUAGCUUGCUAAGGCCGAUGGCGACCGGCGCACGGGUGAGUAACACGUAUCCAACCUGCCGUCUACUCUUGGACAGCCUUCUGAAAGGAAGAUUAAUACAAGAUGGCAUCAUGAGUUCACAUGUUCACAUGAUUAAAGGUAUUCCGGUAGACGAUGGGGAUGCGUUCCAUUAGAUAGUAGGCGGGGUAACGGCCCACCUAGUCUUCGAUGGAUAGGGGUUCUGAGAGGGAGCUCCCCCACAUUGGAACCGAGACACGGUCCAAAAUCCUACGGGGCGCAGCAGUGAGGAAUAUUGGGCAAUGGGCGAGAGCCUGAACCAGCCAAGUAGCGUGAAGGAUGACUGCCCUAUGGGUUGUAAACUUCUUUUAUAAAGGAAUAAAGUCGGGUAUGGAUACCCGUUUGCAUGUACUUUAUGAAUAAGGAACGGCUAACUCCGUG
Molecule: ribosomal RNA, 490 nt
Filed under: uncultured bacterium
Lineage: Bacteria
Description: partial 16S ribosomal RNA
Rfam family: Bacterial small subunit ribosomal RNA
Source: RNAcentral